This 2532-nucleotide long non-coding RNA is filed under the name Solanum tuberosum (potato). RNAcentral describes it as "long non-coding RNA (STUB_LNC007899)". Lineage: Eukaryota; Viridiplantae; Streptophyta; Magnoliopsida; Solanales; Solanaceae. The record is from RNAcentral.
AGGAUUAUAAACAAAGGUUGAUUUUAAGCCAAUAUUUAGAUAUAUUCUAAUAUGCUUGCAAGGUUUACAAUUUAAGCAACGUAGACAUGUUUUAGCAAUCACACAUAGCAAAAAAUAAACUAGACUAGAAAUGAAAAGAAACAAUUAGCACGUAUAUCCCCCUCCCCCUUAGACGAUCCCCAAGUUAUUCAUAUAUAGAGAGAGUUGAGAGUUAUACAAAUUAUUACACAACGAUAAUAAAGUUAAAACUUAUACAAAGACAUAAAUUAGAUGAAUUCGAUUCGUCUAUUGUUUCCCACUCAUGGCGACUCUCCAUAUCUUGAACUUUUGUUCAAACCUGCUAAAAGAUGGCAAAAGAUACAAACAAGUAUAUAUAUGACGGGAUUUAACUAUUUCCCAAGCUGCCUCAAUACACAUAAACUAAAUCAUGGACAUUCAUACUAGAAUUUAAACAAGUAAAGAAAUACACCGCAUAUAGUGUCACACAUAAAGAGGGAAGAGAGGAACUAACCUGGGUGCUUCCUUUUACUCAUUUAAACACACAACGAGAUGCAUAAUGCAAAACAAAAAAAAUAUAUAAAAAAAAAAAUAAACUUAAGGCAAACACUAACCAGUUACGCAGAAUUAAUUAUCAGCAAUGAAGAUAAGCUUAAUCCACUAUUCGACCCGAACACAGCAACACAGAAUUUUUACCGGAAAACAUAAAUCCUUAAAAGUAGGAGUAGAGAGCAAUAUUUUUUAUAUUCAAGAGUAAAGCGUGAGCAAGUUAGGAUGUUAGAGUGUCUAAGUAUGAGAGUAUUCCGUGUGUAAGAGUGAGUGGAAAAGUGUGUAAGAAAAGAACUAGGAGGUCUCUUUAUAUAGUGAAGGGAAGGGCACAUAAUAGAGGAAAAGAAAUAAUUAAGGAGUCAAUUAUAUCAUGCUUUCCUUAAACAAAAGGAGAGCCAAAAUUAGACCUAUUUUUAUUUAUUCUUUUUACCAAAAUAUAAACAAGUAAGAAAUCUAGUUAAGCUUAAUUAAGGUGAGAAAAUAUUCACUAACAUAUAUUUUCCUUGUUAAGAAGGAAGCCAAAAUCAGAUUUUAAAGUAUUAUUUUUUUACCAUAUAUAAAAAAAACGAGUAAGAAAUCUACCGAUUUUAAUUAAGGUAACAAGAUCAGUUUACAGACAGAUGAUAUGUGAAAUCAAGUAAGACAAGUGAUAAUUGAUUCAAAGGGAGUGCAUGAAAAAUUUAUGGCAAUCAAUGGAUAACAUAAGAUACAGGGGAGAUACAUAUUAUAAGGAAAGAAUAAAUAUUGCCCAAAUUAAGUACCAAAUAUUCGCCAAUCCUAUUGUAACAAUAUUCAUUACCAUAAGCAAGAACCUAUUCAAAUUUACAUACCAUAGUAAAACAAUUGGUCAACAUUACUGUAAUAACGUCAAUUUGUCAACAUAUAUAUAAUUAAUCAAAUAAUUAAUGACUAUGUCCUUAGUUUUUUGCAACCUAAACUGACCCACUUACCAAAUAUAUGCAGUAGUUAUAAUAAUAAACAAACAAUUUUAGUACAAUAUUUAAAAUACUAUUACCUUAAUAAAGAGAGCCAGAGAGGGUAAUUUGACUAACUGAGCGAAAUCAGUUAAUCACAAAUGAUUCGUAUUUGCCAUAAGUAAUUUUGAAAAAUGGGUAUUUCAAAUGAUCGAAUCCCCCUUAGACUAAAAUUAAACCACACACCCAAUCUGACAAUGAAAUACGCCCUCAAAUCAGUGUGUAAUCACAAAUACAUGGUAAUUCAAUGCUAAUUGAACUGUAGCAUCAGCUAGCACACGAAAAAUUAAAUUAACAACUAUGACAAUUCAUCUUUUAUGUUUAACAUGUAGAAAUGAUUAACAGAGACAUUUCACAGUACAGAAUCAAAGAGGCAAACAAUGAAAGCAAAGAAUUCUAGAACCUUAACAAACAGGUUGUAGCAUUUCAAUAUUAAGGAAUCCUAUGAUGCUCAAAUUCUCAUGACACUUAGACAUGAACAAAGAGUUAAGAUCUAAGCCUAAGAAUUAAUUCAAAACUCACCUGGAUGGAUCUGUUAAGAUCCAUCUUUUAAUUAACUCGAAAUCUUCAAAAGCUCCACCGGAAUCCGCUGCAGUGCUUUUGUUGUUGUUGUUUCCGAUGGAUUUCACCGGGAUUUUGUCGAAGUAGGUUAGUGGUCUUGACUGGCUGCUGGUUACCUCGAACCCGCCGGAGAGGGGAAAGGCAUGCUGCUGUUUCCGUCGGCUACUGCUGCUCGCUUUUCCAGGCUGCUGGUCGGAGGUCCUCGCCGUUCGCUAGCUGCUGUUGUCACCGGCUGAAGCUGCUGGUUGCUCCAUCUGGCGGGAAGAGAGGAGAAGAGAAGAGAGGCGGAGCAGAAGAGAAGAGGCGACUGUCUCCUCUUUGCCGGCUGGCGAUUCUCGCCGGAGGCGGCGAUCUGGAGAGAUGGAGGGCGGCGCUUAGAGAGGGGAGAGGAGGAGAGUGAAAAAAAUUGUUAGGGUUGGUGUUUUGAUAAUUAAAAUAGGAAAGAAAUAAU